RNAcentral lists this transfer RNA (72 nucleotides) under Cavia porcellus (domestic guinea pig). It matches the Rfam family "tRNA". From Rfam's summary of the family: Transfer RNA (tRNA) molecules are approximately 80 nucleotides in length. The record is from Rfam by way of RNAcentral. Lineage: Eukaryota; Metazoa; Chordata; Mammalia; Rodentia; Caviidae.
GGGGAUAUAGCUUAAUGGUUCAGUGCUUGUCUGGCAUGUGUGAGGCCCUGGGUUCAAUUCCCAGAAUCUCAA